UUGGAGAAAGCGGCCACAGAAAAAGAUAGAAUAGAGGUUAAGCUUGAAAAUUCUCAAUCUGAAUUAGGUCAGGCCAGAGCAGAGUUGGAUAAAAUGCAGUCAGAGAUGAUGAAGCUUCAGAAUGAGUCUGACCGCAGUCGCACUGAGUUUGCUAGGCUUGCCCUGGAGAAUGAGAGAAUGCGAGAGCAGUCUGGGCGUUUGAAAUCCGAUUUUGAUAGAACUCAGACUACAUAUGGCAUGUCCCAAAUGUACCAAUCUGAUGAAUAUGAACGUAUUCAAGAUCGUUUAGAAAAGGCACAGACUGAACUACGCAGAGUUCAAGCGGAAUAUCGCAUGCACCAGGCUGAGCAAGAUCGUUCGAGAGGGGAAGUCGAGCAACUUCAAGAAAGAAUAGAGCGCUCUCAAGGUGAAAUAUAUCGUCUGAAAGCUAAACUAGAGAAUGCCCAAGCUGACAAAGAAAGCAUUCAAGAGGAGUAUGAUCGAGUACAGUCAACAGUUGCGCGCUCACAGAGUGAGCGAGAUGCCGCACUGGCAGAAGCAGAAAAGCUCCGCACUGAACUGGAUCGAAUUCAAACACUACUGAAUAAGAGUCAGUCUCAAAAUGAAAAAACACAGUCUUCAUUAGACAAGGCACAAAUGGAUUCGGAUCGUAUUCAAGAGAAGUUGGAUAAGGCGAAUGCAGAAUUGCGACGUAUGCAGGUAGAAAGAGAGAGGGCUCAAUCUGAAUUAGACAAUCUACAGUCCCAACUGAGCCAAGCUCAGAUGAAUUCAUUAAAAUUCCAGAAAGAAAAAGAAAUGAUAGAAGUGGAAGCAGAAAAAUCUCAAGAGAAGUAUGAAAAAACUCUUGCGGCACUGCAACGACUACAAAAGGAAAAAGAUAUCACUAACUUAGAUUUAGAAAAACUUCAAGAAAAAUCGGAUUCUUUACAUGCGCAACUCACAAAAGCUUUAAAAGAAAAGGAAAAUACUCAGGCUGAAUAUGACAUCAUUAAAGAUCGCCUUGAAAAGACUCAAAAUCAACUGGAAAAAUAUUAUAAUGAUUACGAUUCUUCCCAAAAAGAAGCUAAAUCUUAUCGAGAAAACGUUGAAAAGUUACAAGCUCAGUUGCAAAAAUCGCAAGAGGAACGAGACAAUGCAAGAAGAGAAUAUGACAAACUGACAGAAAAAUCGGAAAAAUCGCAUUCAGAUAUUUAUAAAUUACAAGCAAAGUUAGAUCAAAUGCAUACUGAUAUGGAAAAAUUAAGUUUGGAGUUAGAAAAAUCUAAUCUUUCUUCAAAUAAAACUAAAGAAGACUAUAAAGGUGCUGUGGAUGAAUUGGAAAAGUUUAGAGAAAUGCAUUCCAGAACUGCUGCGCAACUGACUAUUUCCAAGGAAUCUGAAGAAAAACUUCGCUUGGAAUUGGACCGUUGUCAGAUGGAACUAAAUGUCAUGCGAGAGCAAUAUGACAAGUCUCAGGAUUCAUUAAGAAAAGCUCAAACGCAAUUAGAGAAACUGCAAUCUGAAAUUGAUGGUCUAAAGAAUGAAUUGAAUAGAGUGACUACUCAAAUUGGAAAAACCCAGUCUAGCCAUGAGAAGUCACAAGAAGACUUAUCAAGAUCUCAAAAAGAAAUUGAAAUAUUGAAAGAAAAAGUCGAACGAUUACAGGCAGAAUUGAAUAGAACGCAUGCAGAAAAGGAUAGAUUGCAAAUAGAAAGUGCCAACUUGAAAUCAGAUGUUGAACGAUAUCAAAGCCAAAUGCUUAAACAUCAUACCAAUCAAGAAAAAGCUAUGUUUGAAAUUGAAACAUUGAAAGAUGAAUUGGAAAAAUUAAAACUUAAACAUGAUAAGACUGAAAUGGAGUUGGAAAAAUGCUCAAGGGAUAAAGAGAAAACUCUAAACGAGUGUAACAAAGUUAAAGCAGAAGUGGAUAAGAUAUCAAAUGAGAAACGUCUGGUAGAAAUAGAGAAAGAUCACCACGUUGAAGAAAUUUCCAAGCUGCAUAUUGAAGUGGAUAAAUUGAAAAACAAAUUGGAACUUUCAAAAGAUGAAGUGAAAAAAUAUCAAGAAUUAAAACAUCAGCAUAAUAUGGAAAUUGAGCGAAUGAAGCAUGAUCUUGAAGUAGCUGAGUUGAAAGCUGAAAGGCAUGCCACCUCAGAGGAUCGACAAAAACAGGAGGUUGAAAAAGUUAAAUUUGAAUUGGAAAAAGUAACUGAUAGACAUGAAAGGACACUGGCUGAUUUGAAAAAAGUACAUGUAGAGAGAGACAAUCUGGAGGGUGAGUGUAAAGCCCAUCAAUCUCAACUAAGUCAGUUACAAUCUCAGUUGGAUAGUUUACAGACUACUCACCAUGCUUCAGAUACAGAUCUUCAAAGGGCUAAAGCUGAAACAGAACGCAUUAGAGCUCUUCACCACAAAUCUGAAGCAGAGCUGCACAAAACUAUUGCUGAAAACAGUAGACUUCAAAUAGAAAUAACUAAACUAAAGGAAGAACUUGAAGAAGCUGAACAAUCUUUGGCCAGACACCUCAAAGAUCAGUCUUCUGGAAAAGGAGAAGUUGAGAAACUACAAAGGGAAAUAGAUAGAUUGAAAGACAAACUAGACAGAACUCUAACAGAUGCUCGUCGUUCUGCAGAUGAUAAAGACAGAUUAGAGGCAAAAUUACAAGAAGUAUUGGGAGAACUGGAUCACCAUCGAUCAGUAAGAGGUAAAACUGAAGAAUAUCAGCAAAAAUCAAGAGUUGAGUUGGAUUAUUCUCAUAUGGAAUUGCAGCGGCAUAAGAGGGAGUUGCAGAGGCUUGAACAGCAACUGGAAGAAACUAUGAAUGAAAACAAAGAAUUAAGAAGAGAGUUAUCUAAAUCUCUCGAAACGAUCAGCAACAUCCAGAGGCAGUUAGAAGAUUCACAAGUUGAUCUGAAGAGGGCAGAAGAACACAACAGGAAACUAAAAUCAGAAGCCAAUUCUCAAAGAACGUUUGAAUCAGAACUUCUUAAGACUGAAGAAGAACUUAUGAGUGCAAAUGCUGAAAUAAGGGACUUAAGGGUUGAGUUAGCCAAAUCAUAUGAGGAUGCAUCUAGUCUUCAAAAACAAUUAGAGGAAGUGCAAAAGGACGUGAAGUUACUAGUGGAAGAAAAUAAAGUAUUAAGGAAUGAGCAAAUAAAAUCUCAAAAGGCUGAAAAUGAAUUGGAAAAAAUUGAAGAACAACUGUUUGGCGCUAAUGCAGAAAACAGAGAGCUAAGAAUGGAGCUUGCAGAAACUUAUGAAACUGUAUCUAACUUGCAAAGAAGACUGGAUGACUUAGAAAGAGAAUUAAAAACUGUAGAGGACCAAAACAUCAAGCUCAGAGCUGAACAGGCUAAAUCUCAAAGAACUGUUGAGAGUGAACUUAUAAAGGUAGAAGAAGAAUUAUUAAAUGCUCAUUCUGAAAAGAAAGAACUUCGAAUGGAGCUUGCUAAGUCUUAUGAAACAAUUUCAAGCCAUCAAAAACAACUUGAUAAAUACCAGAUAGAACUUUCAAAAGCAGAAGAUGAUAUCAGUAAAUUAAAAAAAGAAUUAGACAAAAGUCAGCUCUCUCAGUCCCGUUACAAUAAAUUAGAGGAAAAGUUAUAUCAAGCUAAUUCUGAGAACUCUGAAAUUAGAGCAGAAACAAAGAAGUUGUAUGAGAAGGUUUCUAACAUUCAAAAGUUACUGGAUGACGCAAAUUCGGAACUUAAAAAAGCUGAAGAAAGCAAUCGUCUCUUAAGAAUUAGGCUUGAAAAAUCUCAAGACAAAGACAAAGAGUGUAAAAAGAUGGAAGAUCAACUCCAAACAUUAAGUACUGAAAAUAAAGAUCUAAAACAAGAGUUAUCAACUCUCCAAGAAAAGGUAUCAAACAUAAAGAUGAAAUUAGAAGAUUCUCAAAAUAACUGCAUGACUCACGAGGAGCGUAACAGGAAACUCAGAACCGACAUUGAAGUUCUGAAGGAAAAAAUGGAUGACGAAGUCAAUAAAUUUUCAGACCAACUACAAAAUUCUGCUUCUGAAAAUAAAGAGCUACGUUUGGAACUGGUUAAAGCAUACGAGUCAAUAUCCACUACUCAGAAGCAACGAGAUGAUUUAAACAAGGAAGUUAAGAAAUUGGAAGAUAAAAUUGAGAAAUACCGAUUAGAUCUAAUGCAAUCUGAGAAAAAAGCAAGUGACUAUAGCAAAGUUGAAAUUGAGCUGAAAAGAAUGAAUCAGGAUAAUCAGUCUUUAAAGGCUGAGCUAUCAAAAUCAUAUGAUAAUAUUGCCAACUCACAGAAAAGGUAUGAAGAACUUUUAGACAAGAAAAAUGAUGCAGAUAAUUUAAUAAGAGAAUUAAAGAGUGACUUAGAAAAAUAUGUUAAAGUCGACGUGGAGAAAGGAAAAUACAAAGAUGAGCUUAUAAACUCUCAGAGCGAACUUAAUGAAACUAAAAAAGAGUUGUCUAAACAAUAUGAAAUGAUAUCUAAUCUCCAAAGUGAAAUAAAAAAUAUAAGCUCACAAAUAGGAAGAAAAGAUGAUGAAAUAAGAAAACUGCAUGCCAGUGUGGAAAAUACCAAAGAAGAUUAUGCAAAUGAUACAAGUGCCCUUAAUAAAAAACUUAAAGAAAUAUCGUCUGAAAAAGAACUUCUGGAAGAUAAGGUCAAAGUGAUGAAUGAUAAAGUUAAGUCCCUAGAGAAGCAGCUGAGUGAUGAAUCAUAUGAAUUAACUAAAGCACAGGAAUUUAAUCAGAAAAUUAAAUUUGAAUUAGAAAAAGCUGAAAAUCGGUUAAAAAGUGAGCUUCAGAAAACUGAAUCUCUUUAUGAUAUCAAUGAGGAAAACAAAACAUUAAGAACUGAGCUUACCACUUGUCAGGAAACGAUAUCUGAUAUUCAACAUAAAAUAAAUGAAAUGUCAGCUGAAAAUAAAAGAUUAAAGGAUUGCGAAAACAAGUUGAAGCUUGAAAUUGAAAAAUCUAAAAAUAUUGAUAAGGAAUUAAAGGAAUUGCAACAAAAAUUUGAGAAACUUAAUAGGGAAAAUAAGGAGUUCCAUAGUCAAAUUGAUGAAUAUAAGCAAGUGGUUGAACAGACUCAGAAGUUAUAUAUAGACACCCAAAGACAACUAGACGAAGCUCAAGGAACUUUAAAUAAAACACAAAAACAGCAUACUGAUGUUCAAAAAGAACUUGAGAAUUCUAAAAAGACAGUUUCUGAGACGGGUAAGAUGUAUAGAGAUGCCCAAAAAGAGUUGAGUGAGGUCAAAGAAAAGUUAAUAGAGAAAGAAAAGAAGCUACAGGAUACUCAAACUGAGCUGCAGAAAUUCCAAGAACGAAAUAAAAUAUUAGAGGAACAACAGAAUGCUACUCAGAAAAGUAUUUCUUCAGAAUUUCAACGGUUAGAAGAAGAUUUACAAAACUCCAUGAUGGAAAAUAAAGAACUACAAAUGGAGCUUAAAAAGUCUUAUGAUGAUAUUUCUGAUUUGAAAAAGCAAAUUGAAACAUAUCAAGCAGAUUUUCAGAAACUUAAAGAAAUAAACAAAAAACUGAAAUCUGAUUCAAAAUCUAAGAAAACGUUAGAAAGUGAUGUCCAGCGAUUAGAAUCUGAUCUCCAAACUGAGAAAUCUGAGAAUCAGAAAUUGAAAUCCGAACUGAGUGAGUAUCACGAAAAAUUAUCAACCUUGCAAAAGAAGAUUGAAAAUACUGCUGUAGAGCUUGAUUUUACCAAAGAAGAAAAUAGAAACUUGAAACAAGCUCACCACUCUGCUCAACGGAAUAUGGAAAAUGAAAUUAAGACUUUAAAAGACAAUUUAGAAAAUAAAAGUUCCGAAAAUGCAGAAAUUAAAAAUGAGUUAGCAAAAUCUUAUGAAGCAGUUUCGAAUCUUCAAGAAGAGGUGGAGAAAUAUUUAUCUGAGCUUAAAAAAUUGAGGGAGGACAAUAGAAAACUUAGAAGUGAACGUUUAGUUUCCCAAAAAACUGUUGAAUGCGAAUUCCAAAAGGUUGAAGAACAACUAGUUAAUACAGAAUCGGAAUUGAAAGAUUUACGGACGGAGGUGAAGAAAUCCCAUGAAGCAAUAGCAAAUCUGCAGAAAGAACUUAGUGAUUCACAAAAUGAAUGCAGGAAGUUGAAGGAAAGUAACAAGAAAUUGAAAUCCGAGCAGUCCAAGAGCCAAAAGAGUAUUGAAACUGAAACUCAGAAACUUGUUGAAAAAAUUGAAAGCUUGUUAGUUGAGAACGAAAAGUUAAGCACUGAAGUUAAUCAGUAUGCUGAAACUUUAGGCACUUUAAACAAACAGAUGGCUGAAGACAGAAAAGAAAUCGAAAAGUUGAGGGCUGAAAGAGAUAAACUAAAUGCUGAUUUGACAACGGUGAAAAAGAGCAUGGAAGCAGAAUUUAAUAAAAUUGAAAAAAGAUUGCAAGGAGGUGAUACUGAGAAGCAAGAACUUCGCGCAGAGCUGGCAAAAUCUGGAGACACUAUUGCAACAUUCCAAAAAGAGCUGGAAGCUUGUCAGGUUGAAUUGCAGAAGAGCAAGGAACUUAAUCAGCAGAUGAAAGCUGAAUUGCAGAAGGUACAAAAGAAUGUGGUUAAACCUGCGGCUACUGAAAAGUUAGAAAAAGAAAAUGUCAGAUUACAAAAAUUAAUUGAAAAGCAAAAAGCGGAGGCUCAAAAGAAUGCUCAAGAAGUUGAAAAGCUAAAAGCAGAUUUAGAAAAAUCCCAAAAUGAAGUAAAAUCUUUUGGUGUGGAAAGAGAAAGAUUCCAAUCUCAAUUAGAAAUGCUCGUACAAGAGAUUGAAAGAAGCCAGAUGCAAGGAGGUCCUGGUGGUCCACAGCAAGCUGAAUUAGCAACUCUGAAAAAGCAAGGGGAAGAGAAGCAGAAGAGGAUAGAAGAUCUAGAGAAUAUGUUGAAAAAAUGUAAAGAAAAAAUCAAACAAGCAGAAACGCAAGCACAAAAGGGACCUGGUGGACCUAGUGCUGAUGAUCAGAAACGAUUGGGAGCAUUAGAAAAACUUUGUGAAGAAUUAUCCAAGGAAAAAGACAAACUAGAAAAAGAAUCAAUAAAAUCCAAAGAAGAUGCUAAGAGGCUACAAGCAGAGUUAGAUCGAUUACUUGAUGUUAUGACUGUAGUAGAAAAGGAAAAGUUCCAAUUAAAUGAACAGAUUAAGGAAUUACAAGAAGGAAUGAAGGACAAAGAAAGCAAAGUUCAAGGAGCAAAAAGGGGCCAACAAGCAGAAAGGAAUAAAAAUGCUCAGAUGUUAGAAGAAGCCAGGAGAAGAGAAGCUGAAGCUACUAAAGAAGCCUCUAAAACACAGGAGCAAGUGCUACAGCAGCAAGAGAGGAUUGAAGAAUUAGAAGAGGCUGUGAGAGAGAGUGUUCGCAUUACAGUUCAGAGAGAGAUAGCUGUGGCAAACCAGCAGAAUGUCAUCGAAGCUGCUGAUGAAAAGAUUCGGAAGUUGCAGUCUGAGGUUAUUGGUCUUCAAAAGGGUAUCAAUGCUCGCUGCACUAACUGUCCUCCUUUAAAAGUCAAAAUGAUUGAAACACAAAAGAAUUUGGAAAUACUCAUAACUGAGAGGAAGCUCCACCUAGAACAAUUACUUGAAUUGAAACAAGAAGCACUUGCUGCAACUAUAAGUGAAAAAGAUUCUCAUAUUGCUUUUCUUGAAAUGUCGGGCAUUAAAGAUGGCAAAACGGCAGAUCAAUUGGAAAAACUGAAGUUAGAAAGAAAGAGACUCGUAGAAAAAAUCAAAAUUGAGAAUGAAAACAGAAUGAGACUCCUAAUAGAGUUACAAGAAGCUAAUUUAGAUAACCAAAAUUUAAGUGCCAUUAAGGACUCCUCACAGUUUUAAUUUUAGGAUGCUGAAGAAGAUGGAUUGCGAUCAGUAUCCUAAUCUUAAGCGCAAAACAAUGCUUCCAAAGCGUCUGCUCAGGGUAUUAGCGAUACAAGAAAAAAAAAGAGCUGUGCAAGCCAUCACCUCUACUCUCUCUGAUCUCGUCUUCCAGAAAGCUGCGACUCCUCAGCCUUGCUUCCUAAUCUUCUGCCUCAUUGACCAACCCCUCUGAGCUAGAGCAUCCCUUUUGUCUUCUUGUCUUCGAUUGGAGAAGAAGUUUUGUAUAAACUGCCAUGAACUACUCUAGAUAAAUUAAUUUGUGCAAUUGCAUAGUGCUCUGAUACCACUUGCCACUGGUGCCAUAUUCAAAGGUGCAGAUCUGUUCAGGAGAAGGCUAAAUAAUUGGUGCAGUAUUUUGAUUCAUUGAGGAUGAAAACUGCCAGAAUUACUUUAGUUUACUUCUGGUGUGUAACCAGGGAGUUAACAUAUUUCCCCACACUAGAAAUUACUCAUUUACCUACUCCAAAAUGAGUGAGUACAAUAAAAAUAUAGUGAAACUUGAGUAAGUUGACCAUUUAUGGUGCGUUGCUUUAGUAUUUAACUUAUUGAGGGAGUUUGAGUCAUUUUUUUUUGUAAUUUCGUAUGUGAUUUAAUUUUUAUAUUAGUUACCAAUCAAUAUGUAUAUAAAUGUAAUUAAUAUUUUUAGCAAAUACCUAAUCCAUCUUAACAAAUAAGCAUAUUUUUUAGUGCUGUGUUCCAGCUACUUAAUAAAAAUAACCUUUUACAAUAUCUAUGCAUCCUUUUACAAUAUCCUAUGCACGUUUUUGUGUACACAAAAACGUACAUAAUUAGAAAACUUAACUCUAUAUUCAUUACUAACUUUAAAAAUUCAUUUUGUUUUACUCUUUUGGUGUCUUUUUAUGCAAAAGUCUAUUAUAAGUAGUUUCUUCACUUGGUCAACUUAUUAAGGGGGUUAGAUUAGCUUUUUAUACUAUUUAACCAAUCAGUAAAAACACGAACUUUUCUUUCCUCACCCAACUUAACUUAUAAAGGGUUUAGUAUAACAUUCAAUAUCUCUGCUAAACAAAAUUGGUGUUUAGUUUACAAAGGCUUUUCUCCCUUUUAUUAUAUAAGCUAAAUUCAGUUCUUGGAAGCAGAGCUCAACUUAGACAAACGGUCAACUUGACAGGUUUCAUUAUGUAUCAAUUUUUCAACUUUAUACCUUAUAAGUUCCGGGGCUCUCUUAAAAUGAAUACUGGCUAUACUGCUGGUCUACAUUAGUACUAUUAGUUUCUUAAAAAGAUUUUAAAAAUAAGUUAUAAAAAACAUAUCUUCCCAAUUGAGAAUAAUAAGAGAUUUAAAUUAUGAAUUAACAUAGUAAAUUGAUUUAAAAAUACAAAUAUUACAUUUGUAGUAAAUUGGUUUAAAAAUACAAAAACUACCUUUAAAUUGAAAUAUAAAAAUUAAAUGAACAUAAAUGCAUUUAAGUCGGAGCUUUUCUAUAUAUUACCGUUGAGUGUUAUAUGUGCUCCAAUAUGUUUCUUUCCCUUCAUUUUUAAAUUUCAAUUUGAGUUUAACUUUCUUAUUUUUAAAUCUAAUUGUCUUAUUUUUAAAUCUAUUGGAAGACACAUUUUGGGCUUACGCUGUUUUAGCACUUUUCCAGGUUUAACUUUGAUUUUAUUCUUCAGCACUUAUGCUACAUAUUCUUUUUUUUUUUAACAGACUUGUUUUCCGUAAUUUAUUGGAUUUUGAUGUAAUGAAUUUAGUCUUCAAAAUAUGUGUCAUGAUUUGAUUUUAUAAAUGCAUGUGUACCAAUUUGCUCCGAAACUACUGUCGAUGGCCUAUUUAUGAAUUCAUCAAUUCAAAUAUGUGCAGUGGCCCCCACCCCCCAAGCUUUUGGGCGCAUUCUUGGGCAAAUUCUAAAUUCCCCCCCAAACUAUUCGUUUUAUUUAGUGUAAAAAUUCCCCCCCAAGCUUUAAGUGGGCGCAUCCUGUGCCCACCUUCCCCCCUGGUGGGGGUCCCUGAAUAUGUAAUCUGGAGAGGAUUAAAUGAUGUAUAAUUUAAUGAGUUUCAGUAGGUAGCAUUUAUUAUUAACAUUCGUUAUUAAUUGGUAUCUUUUAUUAGUAAAUGAUAAUAUAACACUGGUUUUAUUCAAAUUACUGCAGCUUUUAUUUGGGCUCUCCUAAAAUGUGUGUGUGUCUGUGACCACAAAGAAAGAAGACUCUUAAAAGCUAUUUAUUUUAUUGCUUUCCUUGAUCUCUGCAUACAGCGUUUGCUUUUUAAGCCUGCAAUUUUAUAUUUCAAAUUAUUUUGUGCCAUAUUUUUUAAACUGUGGAUAGUUUACAUAAGUGUAUAAAUCGUUAAUUUUUUUGUAUAUUUAAGUGAUUCAUAACUAAGUUAUUUGUAAUUGUUGCUGUGCGUGUUAUUUACCUAAUGAAAUUUAGCAAAAACUGCAAUGUUGUGAUUGAACUUGAAUGCCCAAGAAAUUACAUUGCAAGUAUUAAUAUUAGCUAUUUAAAGUAACAAAUUAUGUAUUUUAUUUAUUUUUCUUACUACAAUGCAAAUGUUUAAAUUGCAGAAAACUGAAUAUUUGCAGUAAAACAGCAUUCUUGCUUAUCGAAUCUCAAUUCAAUUUUUAUAUUUAUUUUUCUAAUAGCUUCAUUAUAUAACCUUAGUUUUAUUUAUAAGUAACAUUUUUACAUAUUUGAACUAUCAAAAUUAUUUUUUAGGUUUCACUUUAAAGUUUUUUUACUGUAUUGAUAAACAUUAAACCUCAAAUCAUUUUAUAUAAAUCUCUAAACAUCAUAAACUAUAAAAUGUGUAGUAUGUUUAGGGUAAAGAUAUAUAAUUGUUCUAAAAGUAUCAAAAGUUUAUAAAGUAUAACUUUAUUUUUCAAGCAAUAUGUAAAAUAAGUUCAUUAUUAAUUAAUUAUUAACUCUAUUUAUUAAUUGUAUUAACAUUGAUUAAUUAUAUUUGUUUUUUUCAAAUACUGCAUACAACAGUCUAGUCUGUUUCAUCACUUUUUUAAUAUUUGUUUCCAGUUCUAGUCAUAUUUUUAUAGAUUCGAUUUUUGACAUUUAACAAUUGACCAAAUAUAUUUUUUAACAUUUUAUAAUGUGUGUGACUUCUAACAAAUAUAUGCACUAGUCAGAUUUUCAAAAUAUAAAUUAGGUAAACAGAAUGUUUAUAACCAAAGAUUCCUCCUAUGUAUUAUUCUAAUAUAUAUUAGACUAUUUGUCAUAUAUUUGUACUAUAUAAUUAAAAAUGAAAAGCUAAAGUUUUAAGAUAAAAUCUAAGACUAUAAUAUUCUAAAUAAGACGUUAAUGCAACUGAAACAAAAUUCGAUCACAGUACUAGUUUCCGCUCGAUUGAUUAAAAAGGAAAUGUACUGUUUUCUCACUCAGCUGUAACAUUUUUAACGCUUUUUUGUUGGGUGACAUCUUGACUUUAAAGGUUAAGUUUGCACGAACUAUUUUUGACCAAUCACAAGGCAGAUAUUCUGCAUUUAAUGGCAAUGGUGGUGAGAAAUCAAAGGUAAAAGAAAAUUAAGACUUGGUUAAAAUUGUAUUUUUAAUGUUAUUUUUCAAAUAAUUUAUCGUUAAUAUUUAAAAUAAUUCAUUCACUAAUGAGUAUUAAAUAUAUAUAAGAGAGUUGUGUGUACUAAUUAUUCAUCAAAUAAUUAAAAAAUGGUUCUGAUAUUAUAAAAAUAACUUUGAUGCUAUUUUUUAAAAUAAUAAUUCCUUCACUAAUGAACAUUAAAUGCAUAUAGAAAAGUAAAAUAUAGAUUUUAAUUAUACAUCAGGUAAUUUGAAUACGAUUAUGGUAUUAAAAUCGUAACUUUAUUGCAAGUAUUUAAGUAAUUUAAUAAUUCUUAAAAUAAAUCUUUCCCUCAUUACUGAGUAUUAAAUACAUAAGACAAAGUGGUGUAGAUGUUAAUUAUUCAACAGGCAAGUAGAUGAAAUAAUUUUAAAAAUGAAUAAAUCAGCAUUCAUCAGGGCUAAGAAACAAUAAAUGAUACUAUAAUGAAAUAGAGAUUGCAUAGCUUGCAUCUAUUAAAUCUCAAUUUUUAAUAGUUUUCAUUGUUGAUAGAUAUAAAGUUGGUGUAACAACUUUUUGGUUAUUUGAAAGAGACAUGAUAAUUUGUGAGUGCUAUAACAAUAUUGUAAAAACAUUAAAUAAUGUAGUGUAAGUGUGUACACUUUUCAAGUCUUCUAUUUCUUGUAGGUUCUCAUUGAAAUAGUAAAAUAUUGAGAUGAUCAUCAGUUUAUUUUCUACAGCAAUAAUUUAAUAGUGUUUAUAUUUUAAUUUAGCUGAACAUGAAUAGUUUAUGAUACUUUUAUUAAUUUCAAUUUAAAUAGUUAUUUAUGCAUUCAUAAAUCAUUAUUUUUGUAAUAAAGUUAAAUAUGAAAUUGUUAUAAAUGUACUGGAAUAUAUGUUGUUUAAUGUUUAAUAAGCUUAAUUUAAAUGCUUAAAAUUUUAUUUUUCAAUGUGGUAAAUUUAACAGUAGUUCAAUAUUUCAUUUUGCUGGUUGAGAUUUUAAGAUAGUCUUUCAAUAUAAUUAAAUGAAAAAUUAUGUGUGUCGAAAGAUGUACAGUUUGAGGUGGACAUUUUUAGUACUAGAUAGGUAUUAAUUGUUAAUUGAAUCAGUUGUCUGCUAAAUGUCUACUAAUUGUUGAAAAUAUUGAAUAAUUUAUCAUAGUUAUUUUAAAUGUUAACUCUUUUUAAAGUGUUUAAAGCACAAUUGUGCAUCAAAUAAAAAAAAUAAAAUAAGUAUCUCUGUAUUGGUCACUGAAUAUAUAAUAAUAAAUAGCAUAAUGUAUUUACAUUUAAAAUCUAAAUAAAAUAUAUUUUAAGGAUUUGAAAAUACAUAGUAUAAACACAGAGUUCUCCCUGGGAAUAAAAAAAACUUCCUCGCAGAAACGGCACUUUGAGUUUUGGAAGGGCACUCACUUAACACUGUAAAAAUCUAUCAAAAUGUGUAAUAUUAUAAACUGAAUUUGAUUUUCAAUUCUUAUACUAUUUUAUGCGUACAUUUCAAAAAAUAAUUUUCCCUCAUUAUCUAAA
Molecule: unclassified non-coding RNA, 12840 nt
Organism: Parasteatoda tepidariorum (common house spider)
Lineage: Eukaryota; Metazoa; Arthropoda; Arachnida; Araneae; Theridiidae
Source: RefSeq, a predicted model, not a curated record